Molecule: ribosomal RNA, 478 nt
Filed under: uncultured bacterium
Lineage: Bacteria
Description: partial 16S ribosomal RNA
Rfam family: Bacterial small subunit ribosomal RNA
Source: RNAcentral
AUGAACGCUGGCGGCGUGCUUAACACCUGCCAGUCGAACGAAGCACUUUAACCUGAUUCUUCGGAUGAAGGUUUUUGUGACUGAGUGGCGGACGGGUGAGUAACGCGUGGGUAACCUGCCUCAUACAGGGGGAUAACAGUUAGAAAUGACUGCUAAUACCGCAUAAGACCACAGAGCCGCAUGGCUCGGUGGGAAAAACUCCGGUGGUAUGAGAUGGACCCGCGUCUGAUUAGGUAGUUGGUGGGGUAACGGCCUACCAAGCCAACGAUCAGUAGCCGACCUGAGAGGGUGACCGGCCACAUUGGGACUGAGACACGGCCCAAACUCCUACGGGAGGCAGCAGUGGGGAAUAUUGCACAAUGGGGGAAACCCUGAUGCAGCGACGCCGCGUGAGCGAAGAAGUAUUUCGGUAUGUAAAGCUCUAUCAGCAGGGAAGAAAAUGACGGUACCUGACUAAGAAGCACCGGCUAAAUACGUG